AUGGACCACCAUCAAGCUACUCACCAUGGUCGAUGUGUCCGACCUGCUGAUCUUUUGCUUGCUUGCCAGGUGUGCGUGCAAACGAGCACCUCCGCAGGCCUGGACCGGAUCCUGACGUGGCUCUUCUACCACAAGGUCAUCGGCGUCGCACACUUUUUGCUCUUCGUCAAGGGCAAGGCCGCCAAGCCCAGCAUCGCGGGGGUCCUCGAGUCCAUCCCCAUGCGUUCCUCGCUUGAGAUUUUGAAGAAUCCAGUAGUACCAAUUUCACUCUGCUUGUUCUCAAUGUCUGACUCUGUUUCUCUUCUUCUUCUUUAG
This 315-nucleotide ribosomal RNA is filed under the name Triticum aestivum (bread wheat). RNAcentral's name for it is "partial small subunit ribosomal RNA". Lineage: Eukaryota; Viridiplantae; Streptophyta; Magnoliopsida; Poales; Poaceae. The record is from RNAcentral.